This 29-nucleotide non-coding RNA is filed under the name Rattus norvegicus (Norway rat). Lineage: Eukaryota; Metazoa; Chordata; Mammalia; Rodentia; Muridae. The record is from RNAcentral.
UGAGACUGAGAAUACAGGUGGAUGGAAGU